RNAcentral lists this ribosomal RNA (445 nucleotides) under uncultured bacterium. RNAcentral's name for it is "bacterial SSU rRNA". It matches the Rfam family "Bacterial small subunit ribosomal RNA", at positions 335 to 801 of the family's 1533-position model. The record is from RNAcentral.
ACUCCUACGGGAGGCAGCAGUGGGGAAUUUUGCACAAUGGGGAACCCGUAGCAUGCAGCGACGCCGCGUGAUUUAGAAGGCCUUCGGGUUGUAAAAUCUUUUGUAUAGGAAGAAAUGACAGUACUAUACGAAUAAGGUCCGGCUAAUUACGUGCCAGCAGCCGCGGUAAUACGUAAGGACCGAGCGUUGUCCGGAAUCAUUGGGCGUAAAGGGUACGUAGGCGGCUAGAAAAGUUAGAAGUCAAAGGCUAUAGCUCAACUAUAGUAAGCUUCUAAAACUAUUUAGCUUGAGAAAUGGAAGGGAAAGUGGAAUUCCUAGUGUAGCGGUGGAAUGCGCAGAUAUUAGGAAGAAUACCGGUGGCGAAGGCGACUUUCUGGCCAUUAUCUGACGCUGAGGUACGAAAGCGUGGGUAGCAAACAGGAUUAGAUACCCUGGUAGCUACGAG